Long non-coding RNA from Magnolia sinica, 175 nucleotides. RefSeq lists it as uncharacterized. The transcript has 3 exons. The record is from RefSeq and is a predicted model, not a curated record. Lineage: Eukaryota; Viridiplantae; Streptophyta; Magnoliopsida; Magnoliales; Magnoliaceae.
CGGUAAUGGCGACGGUGUUCCAAUUUGAGGCUUUUUGGGUCAGCCCAAGCAACAUCUUCUUGCAACUGGAUGGAGUGUGUAAGUGCAAAGAGGCUUGUUCCAGGUGAUUCGGUCCUUUUUCAUCUGGGAUGAAAGAAUCAGUUACUCCUGGGAAUCUGGCAUGCUAAUCAGCCAC